AGUGGCGAACGGGUGAGUAACACGUGGGUAACCUGCCCAAAAGAGGGGGAUAACACUUGGAAACAGGUGCUAAUACCGCAUAACCAUGAUGACCGCAUGGUCAUUAUGUAAAAGAUGGUUUCGGCUAUCACUUUUGGAUGGACCCGCGGCGUAUUAACUUGUUGGUGGGGUAACGGCCUACCAAGGUGAUGAUACGUAGCCGAACUGAGAGGUUGAUCGGCCACAUUGGGACUGAGACACGGCCCAAACUCCUACGGGAGGCAGCAGUAGGGAAUCUUCCACAAUGGGCGCAAGCCUGAUGGAGCAACGCCGCGUGAGUGAAGAAGGUCUUCGGAUCGUAAAACUCUGUUGUUAGAGAAGAACAUGCGAGAGAGUAACUGUUCUUGUAUUGACGGUAUCUAACCAGAAAGCUACGGCUAACUACGUGCCAGCAGCCGCGGUAAUACGUAGGUGGCAAGCGUUGUCCGGAUUUAUUGGGCGUAAAGGGAACGCAGGCGGUCCUUUAAGUCUGAUGUGAAAGCCUUCGGCUUAACCGAAGAAUUGCAUUGGAAACUGGAGGACUUGAGUGCAGAAGAGGAGAGUGGAACUCCAUGUGUAGCGGUGAAAUGCGUAGAUAUAUGGAAGAACACCAGUGGCGAAAGCGGCUCUCUGGUCUGUAACUGACGCUGAGGUUCGAAAGUGUGGGUAGCAAACAGGAUUAGAUACCCUGGUAGUCCACACCGUAAAUGAUGAAUGCUAAGUGU
RNAcentral lists this ribosomal RNA (743 nucleotides) under uncultured bacterium. Its description in RNAcentral is "bacterial SSU rRNA". It matches the Rfam family "Bacterial small subunit ribosomal RNA", at positions 94 to 823 of the family's 1533-position model. The record is from RNAcentral.